CCGGAGUGGACGAACCUCUGGUGUACCGGUUAUGACGCCAGUCGUAUUGCCGGGUAGCUAAGUUCGGAAGAGAUAAACGCUGAAAGCAUCUAAGCGUGAAACUCGCCUUGAGAUAAGAUUUCCCUGGGGACUUGAUCCCCCUGAAGGGUCGUGGUAGACCACCACGUUGAUAGGCUGGGUGUGGAAGCGCAGCAAUGCGUUAAGCUAACCAGUACUAAUUGCCCGUGAGGCUUGAUCCUAUAACCUUAAGCAG
This 253-nucleotide ribosomal RNA is filed under the name Candidatus Accumulibacter phosphatis. RNAcentral's name for it is "partial 23S ribosomal RNA". It matches the Rfam family "Bacterial large subunit ribosomal RNA", at positions 2692 to 2925 of the family's 2925-position model. The record is from RNAcentral. Lineage: Bacteria; Pseudomonadati; Pseudomonadota; Betaproteobacteria.